This 446-nucleotide ribosomal RNA is filed under the name uncultured bacterium. RNAcentral describes it as "partial 16S ribosomal RNA". It matches the Rfam family "Bacterial small subunit ribosomal RNA", at positions 338 to 795 of the family's 1533-position model. The record is from RNAcentral.
CCUACGGGCGGCUGCAGUCGAGAAUCAUUCACAAUGGGGGAAACCCUGAUGGUGCGACGCCGCGUGGGGGAAUGAAGGUCUUCGGAUUGUAAACCCCUGUCAUGUGGGAGCAAAUUAAAAAGAUAGUACCACAAGAGGAAGAGACGGCUAACUCUGUGCCAGCAGCCGCGGUAAUACAGAGGUCUCAAGCGUUGUUCGGAAUCACUGGGCGUAAAGCGUGCGUAGGCUGUUUCGUAAGUCGUGUGUGAAAGGCGCGGGCUCAACCCGCGGACGGCACAUGAUACUGCGAGACUAGAGUAAGGGAGGGGGAACCGGAAUUCUCGGUGUAGCAGUGAAAUGCGUAGAUAUCGAGAGGAACACUCGUGGCGAAGGCGGGUUCCUGGACAGUAACUGACGCUGAGGCACGAAGGCCAGGGGAGCGAAAGGGAUUAGAUACCCCUGUAGUC